This 82-nucleotide transfer RNA is filed under the name Daphnia pulicaria. Its description in RNAcentral is "tRNA-Ser". It matches the Rfam family "tRNA". Rfam says of the family: Transfer RNA (tRNA) molecules are approximately 80 nucleotides in length. Their secondary structure includes four short double-helical elements and three loops (D, anti-codon, and T loops). Lineage: Eukaryota; Metazoa; Arthropoda; Branchiopoda; Diplostraca; Daphniidae. The record is from RNAcentral.
GCAGACAUGGCCGAUUGGUUAAGGCGACUGACUCGAAGUCAGUUUCCAUCUUGGAGCGUAGGUUCGAAUCCUACUAUCUGCG